This 253-nucleotide ribosomal RNA is filed under the name uncultured bacterium. RNAcentral's name for it is "partial 16S ribosomal RNA". It matches the Rfam family "Bacterial small subunit ribosomal RNA", at positions 524 to 776 of the family's 1533-position model. The record is from RNAcentral.
UACGGGGGGGGCAAGCGUUGUUCGGAAUUACUGGGCGUAAAGGGCUCGUAGGCGGCCAACUAAGUCAGACGUGAAAUCCCCAGGCUCAACCUGGGAACUGCGUCUGAUACUGGGAGGCUUGAGUAUGGGAGAGGGAUGUAGAAUUCCAGGUGUAGCGGUGAAAUGCGUAGAUAUCUGGAGGAAUACCGGUGGCGAAGGCGGCAUCCUGGACCAUUACUGACGCUGAGGCGCGAAAGCUAGGGGAGCAAACGGG